UGGGCAAGUCUGGUGCCAGCAGCCGCGGUAAUUCCAGCUCCAAUAGCGUAUAUUAAAGUUGUUGCAGUUAAAAAGCUCGUAGUUGAAUUUCGGGAUCAGUACGCUGGUCAUGCCUUUGGUAUGCACUGGUGUCACUGGUUUCUCCCUUCUGAAGAACCGUGAUGUCAUUAAUUUGGUGUCGCGGGGAAUCAGGACUGUUACUUUGAAAAAAUUAGAGUGUUUAAAGCAGGCUCACGCUUGAAUAUAUUAGCAUGGAAUAAUGAAAUAGGACGUUUGACCCUAUUUUGUUGGUUUCUAGGAUCGACGUAAUGAUUAAUAGGGAUAGUUGGGGGCAUUAGUAUUCAAUUGUCAGAGGUGAAUUUCUUGGAUUUAUUGAAGACUAACUACUGCGAAAGCAUUUGCCAGGGAUGUUUUCAUUAAUCAAGAACGAAAGUUAGGGGAUCGAAGACGAUCAGAUACCGUCGUAGUCUUAACCAUAAACUAUGCCGACUAGGGAUCGGAUGAUGUUAAUUUUNUAAUGACUCAUUCGGCGCCUUACGGGAAAC
RNAcentral lists this ribosomal RNA (545 nucleotides) under uncultured Glomus. RNAcentral describes it as "SSU rRNA". It matches the Rfam family "Eukaryotic small subunit ribosomal RNA", at positions 552 to 1098 of the family's 1831-position model. The record is from RNAcentral. Lineage: Eukaryota; Fungi; Glomeromycota; Glomeromycetes; Glomerales; Glomeraceae.